GACGAACGCUGGCGGCGUGCUUAACACAUGCAAGUCGAACGGAAAGGCCCUGCUGUUUUCUGGUGCUCGGGUGGCGAACGGGUGAUUAACCCGUGCGUACCCUGCGCUUGACUUUGGGAUAACUUCAGGUAACUGGGGCUAAUACCUGAUAGGAGCUCCUGCUGCAUGGUGGGGGUUGGAAAGUUUCGGCGGGUGGGGAUGGACUCGCGGCUGAUCGGCUUGUUGGUGGGGUAGUGGCUGACCAAGGCUUUGACGGGUAGCCGGCCUGAGAGGGUGACCGGCCACAUGGGGACUGAGAUACGGCCCAGACUCCUACGGGAGGCAGCAGGGGGGAAUAUUGCACAGUGGGCGGAAGCCUGAGGCAGCAACGCCGCGUGCGGGAUGACGGCCUGCGGGUUGUAAACCGCUGUCGCCUGUGACGAAGCGUGAGUGACGGUAAUGGGUAAAGAAGCACCGGCUAACUACGUG
This 468-nucleotide ribosomal RNA is filed under the name uncultured bacterium. RNAcentral's name for it is "partial 16S ribosomal RNA". It matches the Rfam family "Bacterial small subunit ribosomal RNA", at positions 28 to 507 of the family's 1533-position model. The record is from RNAcentral.